AUUGAACGCUGGCGGCAGGCCUAACACAUGCAAGUCGAGCGGAUGAGUGGAGCUUGCUCCAUGAUUCAGCGGCGGACGGGUGAGUAAUGCCUAGGAAUCUGCCUGGUAGUGGGGGACAACGUUUCGAAAGGAACGCUAAUACCGCAUACGUCCUACGGGAGAAAGCAGGGGACCUUCGGGCCUUGCGCUAUCAGAUGAGCCUAGGUCGGAUUAGCUAGUAGGUGAGGGAAAGGCUCACCUAGGCGACGAUCCGUAACUGGUCUGAGAGGAUGAUCAGUCAGACGGGAACUGAGACAGGGUCCAGACUCCUACGGGAGGCAGCAGUGGGGAAUAUUGGACAAUGGGCGAAAGCCUGAUCCAGCCAUGCCGCGUGUGUGAAGAAGGUCUUCGGAUUGUAAAGCACUUUAAGUUGGGAGGAAGGGCAGUAAGUUAAUACCUUGCUGUUUUGACGUUACCAACAGAAUAAGCACCGGCUAACUUCGUGCCAGCCGCCGCCGUAA
Molecule: ribosomal RNA, 500 nt
Filed under: uncultured bacterium
Lineage: Bacteria
Description: partial 16S ribosomal RNA
Rfam family: Bacterial small subunit ribosomal RNA
Source: RNAcentral